Molecule: ribosomal RNA, 461 nt
Filed under: uncultured bacterium
Lineage: Bacteria
Description: partial 16S ribosomal RNA
Rfam family: Bacterial small subunit ribosomal RNA
Source: RNAcentral
CCUACGGGAGGCAGCAGUGAGGAAUAUUGGUCAAUGGGCGAGAGCCUGAACCAGCCAAGUCGCGUGAAGGAUGACGGCCCUACGGGUUGUAAACUUCUUUUGUCAGGGAGCAAUUGGGUCCACGCGUGGGCUUAGCGAGAGUACCUGAAGACAAAGCAUCGGCUAACUCCGUGCCAGCAGCCGCGGUAAUACGGAGGAUGCGAGCGUUAUCCGGAUUUAUUGGGUGUAAAGGGAGCGCAGGCGGUAUGGCAAGUCAGAUGUGAAAACCCAGGGCCCAACCCUGGGACUGCAUUUGAAACUGCCAUACUUGAGUGCCGGAGAGGUAAGUGGAAUUCCUAGGGUAGCGGUGAAAUGCGUAGAUAUUAGGAGGAACCCCAGUGGCGAAGGCGGCUUACUGGACGGUAACUGACGCUGAGGCUCGAAAGCGUGGGGAGCAAACAGGAUUAGAUACCCUAGUAGUC